AUUCCCACUGGAACAAUAUUCAGUCAUAAAAAGUAGUGAAGUACUAACAUAUGCUAUAACAUGAUGAACCUUAGAAACAUUACACUAAGUGAAAAACGCCCGUCACAAAAGGCCAAACGUUGUGUGAUUCCAUAUAUGAAAUGUCCAGAAAAGGCAAAUCCAUAAAAACAAAAAGCAGAUUACUAGUUACCAGGGACUGGCGGUGGGGGGAAAGGAGAGGAUGGGGGGGUGACUGCUAAUGGGUAUGGAGUUUCUCUUUGGUGUGAUGAAAAUAUUCUAAAAUUAAUUACGAUUAUGAUUGUACAACUCCAUGAAUAUGCUAAAUUAAAUCAUUGAAUUGUAU
This is a long non-coding RNA of Nomascus leucogenys (northern white-cheeked gibbon), 343 nucleotides long. RefSeq lists it as uncharacterized. The record is from RefSeq and is a predicted model, not a curated record. NCBI's taxonomy places the organism in Eukaryota, Metazoa, Chordata, Mammalia, Primates, Hylobatidae. The transcript has 3 exons.